RNAcentral lists this ribosomal RNA (384 nucleotides) under uncultured eukaryote. RNAcentral describes it as "SSU rRNA". It matches the Rfam family "Eukaryotic small subunit ribosomal RNA", at positions 587 to 972 of the family's 1831-position model. The record is from RNAcentral.
AGCUCCAAUAGCGUAUACUAACGUUGUUGCAGUUAAAAAGCUCGUAGUUGGAUUUCUGUGUUGGUGAGGCGGCCGGCCACUCGUGGUUGUAGCUAGUUAUCACCGGCGCAUCUUGUCACAAGCCACGCUGGCCUUAACUGGUUGGCGCUGGGGACUGACUCGUUUACUUUGAGAAAAUUAGAGUGUUCAAAGCAGGCUAUCGCCUUGAAUAUGUUAGCAUGGAAUAAUGAUAUAGGACUUUGGUUCUAUUUUGUUGGUUGUUCGAGAACCGAAGUAAUGAUUGAUAGGGACAGUUGGGGGCAUCAGUAUUCUGAAGCGAGAGGUGAAAUUCUUGGACCUUCGGAAGACUAACAACUGCGAAAGCAUUUGCCUAGGAUGUUCUCU